GGGCGCGUAGCUCAGCCUGGUAGAGCACCACGUUCGCAACGUGGGGGCCUCGGGUUCGAAUCCCGACGCGUCCA
This 74-nucleotide transfer RNA is filed under the name Candidatus Woesearchaeota archaeon. RNAcentral describes it as "tRNA-Ala". It matches the Rfam family "tRNA". From Rfam's summary of the family: Transfer RNA (tRNA) molecules are approximately 80 nucleotides in length. Their secondary structure includes four short double-helical elements and three loops (D, anti-codon, and T loops). Lineage: Archaea; Nanobdellati; Candidatus Woesearchaeota. The record is from RNAcentral.